AGCAACCAAGGGGACGCAACUCUGCCCUGCCAAGGAGUGCGCCUGUGCCAAGUGUUUGCAAAUGAAAAUAUAAGAGGAGAUUAAUGAUGGGACAUUGGCCAGAGGCCUGGCUAAGUGGAGGAAGAGGGCCCAGAGGCAAUGGGGUGGAUGCAAUUUUGCUAUGACGGGCCGGGAGUUUGACACCCCUUUGUUAAUCAAACAAAAAGAAAUGUAAACUCCACAUUAUAUUAAACAGAGCAACUACUGCAAGGGCUCUAUGAACUGUUGGUCAACUAUCUGAAGACCUGAAUUUGCGAACUCCUAAUUGGAAAGGCAGCAGAAUCUAGCCUGAAGGAGAACUUACAAAAUGUAUAUUGCUUAAACAAGACUCAAUGAGUCAAGAGAAUAUGCAAUUCCUGCAUCACUGACAUGGCUGCAAGAAGAAGAUAGAAUCCCUUUCCUUCCCCUUCCCCUUCCCCUUCCCUUUCCUUUCCUUUCCUUUGCUUUCCUCCUCCUCCUCC
Crotalus tigris (Tiger rattlesnake) is the source of this 500-nucleotide long non-coding RNA. RefSeq lists it as uncharacterized. The transcript has 3 exons. Lineage: Eukaryota; Metazoa; Chordata; Lepidosauria; Squamata; Viperidae. The record is from RefSeq and is a predicted model, not a curated record.